AUUGAACGCUGGCGGCAUGCCUUACACAUGCAAGUCGAACGGUAACAGGUCUUCGGAUGCUGACGAGUGGCGAACGGGUGAGUAAUACAUCGGAACGUGCCUAGUAGUGGGGGAUAACUACCCGAAAGAGUGGCUAAUACCGCAUGAGAUCUACGGAUGAAAGCAGGGGAUCGCAAGACCUUGUGCUACUAGAGCGGCCGAUGGCAGAUUGGGUAGUUGGUGGGAUAAAAGCUUACCAAGCCGACGAUCUGUAGCUGGUCUGAGAGGACGAUCAGCCACACUGGGACUGAGAAACGGCCCAGACUCCUACGGGAGGCAGCAGUGGGGGAUUUUGGACAAUGGGCGCAAGCCUGAUCCAGCAAUGCCGCGUGCAGGAUGAAGGCCUUCGGGUUGUAAACUGCUUUUGUACGGAACGAAAAGCCCCGGGUUAAUACCCUGGGGUCAUGACGGUACCGUAAGAAUAAGCACCGGCUAACUACGUGCCAGCCGCCGCGGUAA
This 498-nucleotide ribosomal RNA is filed under the name uncultured bacterium. RNAcentral's name for it is "partial 16S ribosomal RNA". It matches the Rfam family "Bacterial small subunit ribosomal RNA", at positions 30 to 523 of the family's 1533-position model. The record is from RNAcentral.